This 253-nucleotide ribosomal RNA is filed under the name uncultured bacterium. Its description in RNAcentral is "partial 16S ribosomal RNA". It matches the Rfam family "Bacterial small subunit ribosomal RNA", at positions 524 to 776 of the family's 1533-position model. The record is from RNAcentral.
UACGGAGGGUGCAAGCGUUGUUCGGAAUUACUGGGCGUAAAGAGCACGUAGGCGGGCUCAUAAGCUAGCUGUGAAAGCCCUGGGCUUAACCUGGGAAUUGCAGUUAGAACUGUGAGUCUUGAAUGCUUGAGAGGUUGGGGAAAUUCCUGGUGUAGAAGUGAAAUUCGUAGAUAUCAGGAGGAACACCGGAGGCGAAGGCGCCUGACUGGCAAUGCAUUGACGCUGAGGUGCGAAAGCGCGGGUAGCAAACAGG